Molecule: unclassified non-coding RNA, 281 nt
Filed under: plant metagenome
Description: partial contains small subunit ribosomal RNA, internal transcribed spacer 1, and 5.8S ribosomal RNA
Source: RNAcentral
UUUCCGUAGGUGAACCUGCGGAAGGAUCAUUGUCGAAGCCUGCCCAUCAGAACGACCCGCGAACUUGUAUACACAACCCGUGGCAGGGGCGAUCUCGCCCCGUGCCCUCGAACGGCAGGGAAACACUCGUGCCUUCUUGUCGAACAACUAACCCCGGCGCGGUCUGCGCCAAGGAAAUUCAAUGAAAGAGUGCCUCCGGUCGACUCGGAAACGAUGCGCGUGUCGGAGGAGAAUCUUGUACAAAACCAUAACGACUCUCGGCAACGGAUAUCUCGGCUCUC